CCUACGGGUGGCUGCAGUGGGGAAUAUUGGACAAUGGGGGGAACCCUGAUCCAGCCAUGCCGCGUGUGUGAAGAAGGCCCUCGGGUUGUAAAGCACUUUCAGGGAGGAAGAACGCCUGGUGGUUAAUACCCAUCAGGAAAGACAUCACUCACAGAAGAAGCACCGGCUAACUCCGUGCCAGCAGCCGCGGUAAUACGGAGGGUGCGAGCGUUAAUCGGAAUUACUGGGCGUAAAGCGCGCGUAGGUGGCUUGAUAAGCCGGUUGUGAAAGCCCCGGGCUCAACCUGGGAACGGCAUCCGGAACUGUCAAGCUAGAGUGCAGGAGAGGAAGGUAGAAUUCCCGGUGUAGCGGUGAAAUGCGUAGAGAUCGGGAGGAAUACCAGUGGCGAAGGCGGCCUUCUGGACUGACACUGACACUGAGGUGCGAAAGCGUGGGUAGCAAACGGGAUUAGAUACCCUGGUAGUC
This 465-nucleotide ribosomal RNA is filed under the name Vreelandella stevensii. Its description in RNAcentral is "partial 16S ribosomal RNA". It matches the Rfam family "Bacterial small subunit ribosomal RNA", at positions 338 to 795 of the family's 1533-position model. Lineage: Bacteria; Pseudomonadati; Pseudomonadota; Gammaproteobacteria; Oceanospirillales; Halomonadaceae. The record is from RNAcentral.